Molecule: ribosomal RNA, 915 nt
Filed under: uncultured bacterium
Lineage: Bacteria
Description: bacterial SSU rRNA
Rfam family: Bacterial small subunit ribosomal RNA
Source: RNAcentral
AGAGUUUGAUCCUGGCUCAGGAUGAACGCUAGCGAUAGGCCUAACACAUGCAAGUCGAGGGGCAGCACAUGAGUAGCAAUACGAUGGUGGCGACCGGCGCACGGGUGAGUAACACGUAUGCAACCUACCUCUAACAGGGGGAUAACCCGUUGAAAGACGGACUAAUACCCCAUAAUACAGGGGCUCCGCAUGGAGAUAUUUGUUAAAGAUUUUAUCGGUUAGAGAUGGGCAUGCGUUCCAUUAGCUAGUUGGUGAGGUAACGGCUCACCAAGGCGACGAUGGAUAGGGGAACUGAGAGGUUUAUCCCCCACACUGGAACUGAGACACGGUCCAGACUCCUACGGGAGGCAGCUGUGAGGAAUAUUGGUCAAUGGAGGCAACUCUGAACCAGCCAAGUCGCGUGAAGGAUGAAGGUCUUAUGGAUUGUAAACUUCUUUUGCAGGGGAAUAAAUAGCGGUACGUGUACCGUUUUGCAUGUACCCUGCGAAUAAGGAUCGGCUAACUCCGUGCCAGCAGCCGCGGUAAUACGGAGGAUCCGAGCGUUAUCCGGAUUUAUUGGGUUUAAAGGGUGCGCAGGCGGGAGAUUAAGUCGGCGGUGAAAUUUUGCAGCUCAACUGUAAAAGUGCCUUCGAUACUGGUUUCCUUGAGUGUGGAUGAAGUAGGCGGAAUUUGUGGUGUAGCGGUGAAAUGCUUAGAUAUCACAAGGAACUCCGAUUGCGCAGGCAGCUUACUAAACCACUACUGACGCUCAGGCACGAAGGCGUGGGGAUCAAACAGGAUUAGAUACCCUGGUAGUCCACGCAGUAAACGAUGAUUACUGGCUGUUUGCGAUACAAUGUAAGCGGCUGAGCGAAAGCGUUAAGUAAUCCACCUGGGGAGUACGUUCGCAAGAAUGAAACUCAAAGGAAUUGACGG